UGUGUAUUCCCUCCAUCUCAAAAUUCUUGUCUUAGAUUGCUCUAGAUACAUAUGUAUUUAAUACUAAAACGUGACUUGAUACAUCCGUAUUUAGACAAAUUUAACACAAGAAUUUUGGAACGGAGGGAGUACUAG
Molecule: non-coding RNA, 135 nt
Organism: Triticum aestivum (bread wheat)
Lineage: Eukaryota; Viridiplantae; Streptophyta; Magnoliopsida; Poales; Poaceae
Source: Rfam